CUCGUAGGCGGUUCGGCAAGUCGGAUGUGAAAUCUCCACGCUCAACGUGGAGGGGCCAUUCGAAACUGCCGUGACUCGAGUCCGGUAGGGGAGUUCGGAAUUCCCGGUGUAGCGGUGAAAUGCGCAGAUAUCGGGAGGAACACCAGUGGCGAAGGCGGAACUCUGGGCCGGAACUGACGCUGAGGAGCGAAAGCGUGGGGAGCGAACA
RNAcentral lists this ribosomal RNA (208 nucleotides) under uncultured bacterium. Its description in RNAcentral is "partial 16S ribosomal RNA". It matches the Rfam family "Bacterial small subunit ribosomal RNA", at positions 568 to 774 of the family's 1533-position model. The record is from RNAcentral.